RNAcentral lists this ribosomal RNA (655 nucleotides) under uncultured archaeon. RNAcentral's name for it is "bacterial SSU rRNA". It matches the Rfam family "Archaeal small subunit ribosomal RNA", at positions 170 to 823 of the family's 1478-position model. The record is from RNAcentral.
CUGGAAGGUCCNUAAGCCGAAAGGGGCUCUGCCCGCCCGAGGAUGGGCCGGCGGCCGAUUAGGUAGUUGGUGGGGUAACGGCCCACCAAGCCCAUAAUCGGUACGGGCAGUGAGAGCUGGAGCCCGGAGAUGGACACUGAGACACGGGUCCAGGCCCUACGGGGCGCAGCAGGCGCGAAACCUCCGCAAUGCUCGAAAGAGCGACGGGGGGACCCCAAGUGCCGUGGUACAACCACGGCUUUUCCGGAGUGUAAGAAGCUCCGGGAAUAAGGGCUGGGCAAGGCCGGUGGCAGCCGCCGCGGUAAUACCGGCGGCCCGAGUGGUGGCCACUAUUAUUGGGCCUAAAGCGUCCGUAGCCGGGCUUGUAAGUCCCUGGCGAAAUCCCACGGCUCAACCGUGGGGCUUGCUGGGGAUACUGCAAGCCUUGGGACCGGGAGAGGCCGGGGGUACUCCUGGGGUAGGGGUGAAAUCCUAUAAUCCCAGGAGGACCGCCAGUGGCGAAGGCGCCCGGCUGGAACGGGUCCGACGGUGAGGGACGAAGGCCAGGGGAGCAAACCGGAUUAGAUACCCGGGUAGUCCUGGCUGUAAAGGAUGCGGGCUAGGUGUUGCUUGGACCUCGAGUCCAAGCAGUGCCGCAGGGAAGCCGUUAAGCCCG